RNAcentral lists this ribosomal RNA (305 nucleotides) under uncultured bacterium. Its description in RNAcentral is "bacterial SSU rRNA". It matches the Rfam family "Bacterial small subunit ribosomal RNA", at positions 334 to 632 of the family's 1533-position model. The record is from RNAcentral.
GACUCCUACGGGGCGCAGCAGUAGGGAAUUUUCGUCAAUGGGCGCAAGCCUGAACGAGCAAUGCCGCGUGAACGGGGAGGGUCUUCGGAUCGUAAAGUUCUGUUGAAGGGGAAAAAGAGCGGAGAGAGGAAAUGAACUCCGAUUGAUAUUACCCUUCGAGGAAGUCACGGCUAACUACGUGCCAGCAGCCGCGGUAAUACGUAGGUGGCGAGCGUUAUCCGGAAUGAUUGGGCGUAAAGGGUGCGUAGGCGGCCUGCUAAGUCUGGAGUGAAAGGUACCGGCUCAACCGGUACAGGCUCGGGAAA